Ficedula albicollis (Collared flycatcher) is the source of this 267-nucleotide long non-coding RNA. RefSeq lists it as uncharacterized. The record is from RefSeq and is a predicted model, not a curated record. NCBI's taxonomy places the organism in Eukaryota, Metazoa, Chordata, Aves, Passeriformes, Muscicapidae. The transcript has 3 exons.
GGGCAACUGCGCAAUAACAAGAGCCUUGUUUUCUUUUGUGUUCCAAACUUGCAAAACAAUGCAACAAUGAUUGAGAAUAUCGUUGCUGCAGUUUGCACUGUUUAUGGCAUUGGUUAUUCCACCUAUUACCUGACUAACCUGGCACGUCAUCUGAGAUGUGUGUUCACAAAUGCGAAAUCUGAGAGCCCAGAAGCAAGAGCAAAGUGUCCACUGACUCCCUUAGCUCUUGGAGUAGAGGACAAAGAGGAGGAAGAUGAAGUCAAUCUU